GACGAACGCUGGCGGCGUGCUUAACACAUGCAAGUCGAACGGAAAGGCCCCUUUGGGGGUACUCGAGUGGCGAACGGGUGAGUAACACGUGAGUAACCUGCCCUUGACUUCGGGAUAACUUCAGGAAACUGGGGCUAAUACCGGAUAGGAAUCCUUGCUGCAUGGUGGGGGUUGGAAAGCUUCGGCGGUUUUGGAUGGACUCGCGGCUUAUCAGCUUGUUGGUGGGGUAGUGGCUUACCAAGGCUUUGACGGGUAGCCGGCCUGAGAGGGCGACCGGCCACAUUGGGACUGAGAUACGGCCCAGACUCCUACGGGAGGCAGCAGUGGGGAAUAUUGCACAAUGGGCGGAAGCCUGAUGCAGCAACGCCGCGUGCGGGAUGACGGCCUUCGGGUUGUAAACCGCUUUAAGCAGGGGCGAAGCUUGUGGUGACGGUACCUGCAGAAGAAGCACCGGCUAACUACGUG
This 465-nucleotide ribosomal RNA is filed under the name uncultured bacterium. RNAcentral's name for it is "partial 16S ribosomal RNA". It matches the Rfam family "Bacterial small subunit ribosomal RNA", at positions 28 to 507 of the family's 1533-position model. The record is from RNAcentral.